UCAGGAUGAACGCUAGCGGCAGGCCUAACACAUGCAAGUCGAGGGGUAACAGAGAAGCUUGCUUCUGCUGACGACCGGCGCACGGGUGCGUAACGCGUAUGCAACCUACCUCAUACAGGAGAAUAGCCCUUGGAAACGAGGAUUAAUACUCCAUGGUAUCAUUUUUUCGCAUGUUAGAAUGAUUAAAGAAUUUCGGUAUGAGAUGGGCAUGCGUCCCAUUAGCUUGUUGGUGAGGUAACGGCUCACCAAGGCAACGAUGGGUAGGGGGCCUGAGAGGGUGGUCCCCCACACUGGUACUGAGACACGGACCAGACUCCUACGGGAGGCAGCAGUGAGGAAUAUUGGUCAAUGGAGGAAACUCUGAACCAGCCAUGCCGCGUGAAGGAUGACGGCCCUAUGGGUUGUAAACUUCUUUUAUAUGGGAAGAAACUUAUCUACGUGUAGAUAACUGACGGUACCAUACGAAU
This 467-nucleotide ribosomal RNA is filed under the name uncultured Flavobacteriales bacterium. RNAcentral's name for it is "bacterial SSU rRNA". It matches the Rfam family "Bacterial small subunit ribosomal RNA", at positions 24 to 487 of the family's 1533-position model. The record is from RNAcentral. Lineage: Bacteria; Pseudomonadati; Bacteroidota; Flavobacteriia; Flavobacteriales.